UACGUAGGGUGCUAGCGUUGUCCGGAAUUACUGGGCGUAAAGCGUGCGUAGGCGGUUUGUUAAGUCUGCUGUGAAAUCCCCGGGCUCAACCUGGGAAUGGCAGUGGAUACUGGCAAGCUAGAGUGUGUCAGAGGAUGGUGGAAUUCCCGGUGUAGCGGUGAAAUGCGUAGAGAUCGGGAGGAACAUCAGUGGCGAAGGCGGCCAUCUGGGACAACACUGACGCUGAGGCACGAAAGCGUGGGGAGCAAACAGG
RNAcentral lists this ribosomal RNA (253 nucleotides) under uncultured bacterium. RNAcentral's name for it is "partial 16S ribosomal RNA". It matches the Rfam family "Bacterial small subunit ribosomal RNA", at positions 524 to 776 of the family's 1533-position model. The record is from RNAcentral.